Molecule: long non-coding RNA, 948 nt
Filed under: Gorilla gorilla gorilla (western lowland gorilla)
Lineage: Eukaryota; Metazoa; Chordata; Mammalia; Primates; Hominidae
Description: lncRNA (ENSGGOG00000044555.1)
Source: RNAcentral
UAGGAAUUAGCCAGCCCUGGGAAAGACAGUCCCUCCAGAGUUAGCAAGACCCCAAGAUGUCAAAGAUAAAAAUGCAAAAAUUAAAACUCCAUGAUUAACACAACUUUGAAGUCCUUCUCACUUGUCUUUAGAUGAGGGGCAACAUCAUUGCAACAAGUCACACUUAGAGAACUCAAGAGAAUAUGUUUAUUCUGAAAAUCCGAGAAUUAUUGCCAACCCAUGGUUGUCUCCAUAUGUCUUGGGAAAAAUAGGAAAAGGAUUUUUUGAGUUGGUGAUUAGAAUCCAAGACACAAAGAUUCAGGCUCUGGUAAAAAGAUCGUAUAGGCUAUUUUGGCUGACAUAAAAGUGCCCUGGUUUUACUUUGGGAGCCACCUUUCUCUUUCAAGUGCUGUCUCAGUGGAAUAGUCAACCAAUGUAUCCUACAUUUUGGACCAGCAGAAGGAAGUAAUGAGAACAGAAAACAAAUAAGAAGUAAGUUGGAGGGAGAAGGAGACUUUAGCAUCUUCCUGAAAUCAGGAAGAAAGUUUCAAGAAUAAAGUAAUCCAUAGGGUCAAAUACUGCAGUAAGUUUAAGUAGGAUGAAGACUGCAAAGAUGGUAUUAGUUUGGUACUUAGGACAUUGGUGACCUCCACAGGUGACCUUCAGGAGAAUUAUCUGGGGAACUUGUUGAUAGAAUUUGUGAAUCUCCACCUUUAGGGAUUCUGAUUUAGAAGGAGUAGGAAGAAGGCCUUAGGAUCUCCAUUUAUAACAACCACUACUGAUUAUUUUGAGGCAGGUAGCAUACAGACCACAUUUUAAAGAAACACCAGGUAAGUGUGAUUUUCAUUCAAAGGACAAAAAACAUAAAGUUACCUAAUUCAGGGACCAUUUCAAAGACCAAAUCAAAUCAGUAGCCUGGCUGAUCUGAUCGACUGUGCAGAAACUAGCCAUUACCAUGGCAAAGUGGGG